GAGGGUGGACAGGUGGUGCAUGGUUGUCGUCAGCUCGUGUCGUGAGAUGUUGGGUUAAGUCCCGCAACGAGCGCAACCCUCGACCUUAGUUGCCAGCAUUCAGUUGGGCACUCUAAGGUGACUGCCGGCUAAAAGUCGGAGGAAGGUGGGGAUGACGUCAAAUCAUCAUGCCCCUUAUGACCUGGGCUACACACGUGCUACAAUGGGCGGUACAAAGGGUCGCGAACCCGCGAGGGGGAGCCAAUCCCAAAAAAGCCGCUCUCAGUUCGGACUGCAGGCUGCAACUCGCCUGCAUGAAGCCGGAAUCGCUAGUAAUCGCGGAUCAGCAUGCCGCGAUGAAUACGUUCCCGGGCCUU
This 356-nucleotide ribosomal RNA is filed under the name uncultured Anoxybacillus sp. Its description in RNAcentral is "bacterial SSU rRNA". It matches the Rfam family "Bacterial small subunit ribosomal RNA", at positions 1026 to 1382 of the family's 1533-position model. The record is from RNAcentral. Lineage: Bacteria; Bacillati; Bacillota; Bacilli; Caryophanales; Anoxybacillaceae.